This is a long non-coding RNA of Falco peregrinus (peregrine falcon), 2721 nucleotides long. RefSeq lists it as uncharacterized. NCBI's taxonomy places the organism in Eukaryota, Metazoa, Chordata, Aves, Falconiformes, Falconidae. The record is from RefSeq and is a predicted model, not a curated record. The transcript has 5 exons.
CCCGGGUGCACCUGCGAGCGGUCAGCCCCAGCGUCUGCAGCCCCAGGGAGUGCCUGGCCAGCCGCAUGACGUAGAGAAUCCUCAAGGCACGGAGAAUACGGAGGACCAGACCUACUUUGUCCAGAUACCUCCUUUUGCAACACCAGUCCAAGUUGUCUUCCUCAAUUCCCCAGUAGAGCAGCUCCUCUUGGAAAGAGAGCGCACACAUCUCACGCAAGAGCCGAAGUUUUCCAACUCGCAAAAAGGUAGAAGAGUCAUCUUGGAAGAUAACUUCACAUCACUUCGCUACUUCUGAAAGUGUCUUCUGCAACAAAAAACAGAUACAUGGGGGCAUGUGCAUAAGGAAAACCUAAGGGAAUAUACAAGAAUGGACAAGGUGCGAUGCAGCAGACCUUCCAAGAGCUGUGGUACUAUUUUCUGGCCUGAGAUGAUGUUGGUUAGCAACAACUUAUCCUCUGAAUCUCAGCCAGAAAAAAUGAGGAGGCAGCUCAUCUCUGUCACUGGUUUGAUCUCCCACCGCAUCCAUAUUGUUGACACAAUGGGAAGAAAUGGGGAGAGGAAAAUGUAAAUGUUCUGCGUGUGUCAGACACAGGCUGUAACCCUGAGGCAUCAACUGUGAAACAACGGAGCAAAGAAAAAAGAAUAUCUUUCUUGGCUUCCAGCUUCUCGACCUGUGUAAGACAAUAAAUUGGACAAAUUAAUCCCCUGUGUAACACACUGAAUGACUGCAGUUAUAAAAGGUGGCUCCUUCUUUUUCCGUAACUAGAACUGGCAAGCCCACAGAUCGCACGUAGGCAGCUACAGUAUUUGAUGCUGUACAUGUGUUAUUUACAUGUUCUUUGCCUCGGACACACAUAGCAUCAUAUCUAAGGGGGAAGAAUAGGAGGAAAUAAAGGACAAUAGAAAAGAUGGCCUGGCUUGAAGGAAUGGAGGAAGGAGAAAAAUAAACCUAUACAUUUCCCCUGUAAGUUUCUUGGUUUCCUUUGGAAGCUGCUUCUGCAGAAUGGUGGCCAGCACUGUUUGAAGAUGGGAGAGAACUAAUUAAUGGAAGGGUUUUUUUGCCGUUCAGCUUAAAAAACAAGCAAACUGUUCCAUUCAUACAUUGCAGACUGAUGGCAUUGGGGAUGGCUGUAAGAAAUGCGUUAAGGAUUAAGACAACACCCUGGAAUAUAAGGUCAGACAAACACAUUAGCCUGUAUCAACAAUUUUCCCAACAAUUAAACAAGAUGAACUUUAAGGGUAUGCUGUAACAGUAAAACGCUCACAUAGAACUGCUCUGGUUAAGUAAGGCUCAGUGGUAAAAUCCCUCCUUGUCUGAGAUGGUCUUCUGCCCUUUGAAUGCUUGGGAGUUGGUGAAGCCCAGUUCAUCUUUCCAACUCCCCUGCUGCUAACGUGUUCUUAUCUUGGGCAAAUAAUUUCUCUCUCAGCAUCAUUUCCUGUUUUGUUUGUAAGCUUACUGGGGCAAGAACUGUCUCUUACUACGUUAUACAAUCCUGAUCACUGUUCUGGCUUCUAGAGACCACAGUAAUUCAGAAUAACUGGCCCAUAGCAAGAGCCCCUGGUGAUUCUAAAUGGUGUGGUGUAUAUUUUCAAAAAUCUGUGUGGCACAAGGUGGUAUUGUUAUCCAUGACGUUUGGUGAAGAAACACAUUUAGAAAUCUGUACUGCCCUUACUUUCAGCUGGUAAUUCAGGAAGGGCGCCAGACUGACUCCUAGGCAAUGGGGAGAAAAUUAUUAAAGAUGCCCUUCCGACAGAAAGAAACAGAAAUAAUAACACGUUAAAAUUCCACUGCAAGUAUCGUUCCCCCCCUCAGUGUCCUCUGCAGUAUUUUGAAUUCUGCAGUGCAUCUCUGAUGUAAUCAGAGCUCCUGCAAGGAGUCCUGAUACUGCUCGGUGAUGCAGACUAUUCAAAGUUGUGCCUGGAUGAUAACAAGCAUGCAACAAAGAUGCAUAACUCCCCCCUAGACUCUCCUAUCGAUUCCAGUGCCCAGAACUUGUCUUUGUUGCUUUUUACCAUUUGUAAAUUAAGGUUUAAAAAAAAAAAAAAGUUUCCGAUUUCAGUGCAGGCUGAACAUGAAUGCAGUGAUUUUUUUUGGAAAGACUUCCCUAAGAAACUGCUUUACAGUUUAGUGAUCCUUCCUCCUUUACUCUUUCCUUAGUUAAAAUAAGCAGUAUUUUCAAGCAGUGUUAAAUUCAGCUAUCUUCUGACACAUGAUUUCCAUACUGUAUCAACACUGUCAGGGGACUGACAUACUGAAAUACUUUCAGCUAUACUCAUGCAGCACUUUACGUAGUAAGAGCCCAUCUCCAACUUCAACUCUGCUCGCAAAGUGAACUUCCAGACAAAUCAAAGUAAAACUUACACAGGUCAAUGUACAAUAUGAAACAAAGCUAUCCUGAGAAAGGCAUAAUUUGAAAAAACAUGCUCGUAUCUGCACAUUGCUCUCCUUGAUCUGGACAGUGUUACACUUUUUGGCAUCUUAUGACAACCUACAGACUGAAUCACGACAAAUAUGUUACGCAGUGUUUGGGUUUACCAAGCUGAGCCUUAUUCUGCCGAUAAUAAUCAGAAGUGAAAGAACUUUGCAGUAACUUACAUCCCCAGGAGAACGCUCCAAAAUACAUUAGAACUAGUGACUGUUGCUAUUAUCUUGCUGUGAAAUAUAUUUAUGUCAACAAAUUUUAAUCUCACAUUCACAACAAUCUCUUCAACAUAUUUUUU